Molecule: ribosomal RNA, 378 nt
Filed under: uncultured bacterium
Lineage: Bacteria
Description: bacterial SSU rRNA
Rfam family: Bacterial small subunit ribosomal RNA
Source: RNAcentral
AUUGAACGCUGGCGGCAUGCCUAACACAUGCAAGUCGAACGGGGUGUAGCAAUACAUCUAGUGGCGGACGGGUGAGGAAUACAUAGGAACUUGCCCUUAAGUGGGGGAUAGUCCGGGGAAACUCGGUUUAAUACCGCAUGAUCUCGUGAGAGCAAAGCAGGGGACCGCAAGGCCUUGCGCUUUUGGAGAAGCCUAUGUCGGAUUAGCUAGUUGGUAGGGUAAUGGCCUACCAAGGCGACGAUCCGUAACUGGUCUGAGAGGAUGAUCAGUCACACCGGAACUGAGACACGGUCCGGACUCCUACGGGAGGCAGCAGUGGGGAAUAUUGGACAAUGGGCGCAAGCCUGAUCCAGCAAUGCCGCGUGUGUGAAGAAGGCC